This is a long non-coding RNA of Poecilia latipinna (sailfin molly), 2620 nucleotides long. RefSeq lists it as uncharacterized. The transcript is spliced from 3 exons. The record is from RefSeq and is a predicted model, not a curated record. NCBI's taxonomy places the organism in Eukaryota, Metazoa, Chordata, Actinopteri, Cyprinodontiformes, Poeciliidae.
AUGUAUUUACAUAUUUUAUAUUUUUCCCUCUAAUUCUAUACAUUAUUUUACUUUUUGUUCAUACCUAUUCUGUUAAACAUUUUAGUGAAUUUUACCUCAAAUGUUCCAGAAUCGUUUUCAUAAAACACACAAAGCUCUGGGCGUUUUGUUCUUGACUUUGUUUAUUAAUGAUUCCAUGUUUUUGUAAGAACUUGGUACAAAAGGUGAGACUACUCUUUAACCAUCAAUCCUCCGUCCAUCAGCGUUUGAAUGCAUCAGAAAGAAGGAAAAACUACGUUGGCAUAUUUAAGACAAACACUUCCUAUACACACUAUCCACCGGACCGCCUCCGCUGACGAACAGAAACUUCUACUUCACCUCCAUCUACACAAACUCCUCUGGUUCCUCUUGGCUCCUCGAUAAAAGAAUAUAAAAAUGUUUUUUUUUCUUCUUUUUGUUUUGUUCAAAUGUUGUGUUGUGUAGUAAAAUAGAUUUGUUUAAGCACUGCACAGUUUCUCCCGGAGAAGAUUCCUAGAAACGGAUGGAGGAGGAGCAGGAGGAAAGUGGGAUUCUCUUUAUUAUUCUUUUUUUAAACUGAUAUGGUUUCCAUCUCGGUUUGAACUUUCACCUCUCAGGUGAGGACUUGAUAUGCAUCACAUGGCACAUUUCAAAAUAAAAGCCCUCUUAUGUUAUAGACUAACUGAUGAUGAUUUAUUCUCAUGAAGGCAGGUUGGACUCUGAAAGAGCGCCACCAUCAGGAAACAAAAGCUUAAAGCGGUAAAGGUGAACAGACUUCCAGAGCCCUGCAGCGUCGAUCCUUCAGAGACCAAACAGGUGAGCUGGAGAUAUGAUUUUAAUCGUCUUUUCUGAUAAAAAACAAACAAACUUAUUUUUCCUCUCCUUUUUGUUCAUGUUUGUGCAUCAGAGAGCUGCACCUCCAUUGAUCGGUGAGUACAGUACCACAACUGAAUAAUAAAAAACAGAAAACGAUGGAAGCGUUGAAGCGGGACGUCUCCGGACGGCAGGAAGACUCGCGACUGUUGUUGCAGCUCGACGGAGACGUCCUGAUUCUGCUGCUUUUCUUUUCUCUAUUUUAUCGUCAAUAUAAAAAAACUGAUACAACAAAGACCAAAACCCUGAAACGAUGUGAGGCAGUGUUCAUCUUUUGCUCAGAAUACACAGAAAAUAUAAAAUGCACACACAAAAAAACGUUUUUGGCAUAUUUUCCAUACUGGUUAAAGAGGGAGGGGCGGAGUGGAUGCAUCACGUUCGCUGGGGCGAGUUUCUAUUUGCCUUUAAGACGUAGAAAUAAAAACAAAAUUAUUUCAUGUUCCUUUCCAGAAGCACUUUAUGAAUUUAAACCAUCUACUUCACCAUUGAACACAGUGGGCGGGGCUAGAGGAAACCUGCCGUCUGAUUGGCUGCUUCAAACCUUCAAACCUUGGUACAACAGAGAUCAAUAUCUUCACCAGAAAGUGCAGGAGUAACUUUAGUAGUAUAAUUAAAUUGCAAACAGUUUGUUUACUGUAAGGUCUGAGUGAGAAACUGCAGCUUUUAUAUCUAGUUUGGUCUGAAAUCUCUCAAAUUCAGGAGAGAGUGUUAGCCGGUGUUGGCUAAUGCUAAUCUAGCCUGACAGAACCAGCGAGUUUAUUAAUGAAUUAUUAAAGAUAUAAAUGCUGGAGUUGGUCAUCUAGAGUUUGUAGUAAAUAAAAUGUAACUUAAGUUUAUUUCUACACUUUCAGUAAACUUGAAAGAAUCCUUGCUGUCUGAAACAGCCAAUCAGACGCCAGUUUCUCCCUGAAUCCCGCCCACUGAGUUUGUUUGUUCCAGAGUAAAAAUAAAAUAAAUUCUCUGUAGCUCUGAUAGCUGGUGAUGAAUUUUUACCCUCUUUUUGCAGAACUGCUUCAAUUUGGAGACUUUAAAGUCAAACUACAAAGUCUGAAUUGGAUGCAAGUCCAGACUUUGAUUAGGCCGCUCCAGAACCUUCAUUUAUUUUUCUUUUGAGCUGUUCAGACGUUGCACACUUUUAGAAAACGUGCAGUUUAGUCUCUUGACCUCUGACCUUAACAGAGGAAAGUAAAACUGAAUUUACCAACAAAAAACACUAAUCAGUUAACUGUUUAGUGUUUGAGAUGUUUUACACCUUUAUUUUAAUUCCAUUCAGUGGUAAAAAAUUUCUUUCUGCGUCUUAAAGAAAAGUUGAACCUGUCCAAUCAGAGACUCUGUUUAGAUGAUGAUGAUGAUGAUGAAAGCACGUAUGUACAGUGAUUCCCCUCAAUACUCCAAACAUUUAUCAACAGGCAUCGGCAUGAAAAUACUAAAAUCUGCACUAAAAAGCUAAUUUCUGUAGUUUAAUCUUAAAUAUUUUUUUCUUUGACUUUAACUCUAUAAAUACUGAGAAAAUCGUAGUUCUCUGUUUUGUUUGAAGGCUCGUCUGCGUGUGGAAACGUCUUCCUGAAGUCGUAUGGCAGGAACUUUGUUCACAGGAUGGAAACGAACGUCUACUCAGAUAAAUCGCUGUACAGCCGCUCGGAAGCUGGAUUCUACCGCUGGGGGAGCGUGGCGAUGGUCGUCAUGGUGACCUGGACCAGCUGGUCUCGCUGGAUGAGCCUGAUGAGCGUUUUGAUGCGGUCGAGCGACG